Heterocephalus glaber (naked mole-rat) is the source of this 130-nucleotide small nuclear RNA. Its record names the gene U1. It matches the Rfam family "U1 spliceosomal RNA". From Rfam's summary of the family: U1 is a small nuclear RNA (snRNA) component of the spliceosome (involved in pre-mRNA splicing). Its 5' end forms complementary base pairs with the 5' splice junction, thus defining the 5' donor site of an intron. Lineage: Eukaryota; Metazoa; Chordata; Mammalia; Rodentia; Bathyergidae. The record is from Ensembl.
AUACUUACCUGGCAGGGGAGAUACCAUGAUCACGAAGGUGGUUUUCCCAGGGCAAGGCUUAUCCAUUGCACUCCGGAUGUACUGACCCCUGCGAUGUCCCCAGAUGUGGGAAACUUGACUGCAAAUAAAC